Molecule: long non-coding RNA, 2274 nt
Organism: Oncorhynchus nerka (sockeye salmon)
Lineage: Eukaryota; Metazoa; Chordata; Actinopteri; Salmoniformes; Salmonidae
Exons: 2
Source: RefSeq, a predicted model, not a curated record
GUUCCUCAACUGCGUUGCCCCUCCAGUCAGCAGAUGGCGAUGUGCGUCUUUUACGUUCAGGCGACGCUGCCAGUGUGACGUAUAAUCUAGUGGACGGGACGCUCCUUCAACAACAACAGUUAGACACCUCGGUAGCUUUAUAGCAAACAUAGCUACAACAUUCACUCUCUUUACACUGUUUUGGUGUAUAUUAGUCGCUGUGUAUUAACCACACUUCUGUCGUAUGUACGUGUUGGCCCAUUUAAUUAUAUAUUUACGUUGUUUGUCAGCUAGCUGGUUUGCUAAAUUAGCUUAGAACUAGGCUAGUUGCUAAUGCUAGCUAGCGAACAUCUCCGACCAUGAGUUCACUAAGCUACUCUCCUCCUGCUAAAGAAGAGGAGGUCUUCUGGACGGAGAAAGAAGCUCUCCUGAAAGAGGAGGAGGAAGAGAAGGAUGUUACAAUACAAAAACAAGUAGAGGGUGAGGCUGUUACCGUGAAAGAAGAAGAGAAAGACGUUUCAGUGAAAGAAAAGGAAGACUCGUUCGGAGUGAAAGAGGAGGAGGAUGUUACAGUAAAAGAAGAGGAAGCGGAGAGAGAGGAGGAUGCAGUUUUGGAGUGAAAGAGGGGGAAGGGGAGAUGACUGUCACAUCGAAAAAGGAGGAGGAGGACGAAGAAGAGGAAACUGGAUAUCUGGGCCCGGUUUCCCCAACGCAUCUUAAGGCAUCCUAUGGUUCUGACGGUGAACUCAGCCGUAAGAUGGUUUUGAGAAACCGGGCCGUGAUUAACACUAGAGAGAGACGUGACUAUCGUGGAUCCUCUGGGGAGCCUCAACAACAUCAUGAAGCUGACGAGGCUGAGAAGAGUCCCUCCCGAUCAGAACACCUCAAGAAACACCAGUGGAGACCAACAGGGAAGAAAUCUCACUGCUGCUCUGACUGUGGGAAGAGUUACUUAAGAUUAAAUUAACUAAAAGUACACAUGAGAAUUCACACUGGAGAGAAACCUUAUAGCUGUGAUCAAUGUGGGAAGAGUUUUACUCAGUCAAGCAGCCUGUUAUCUCACCAGAGAACACACACAGGAGAGAAACCUUACAGCUGUGAUCAAUGUGGGAAGAGUUUUACUCAGUCAAGCAACCUGGUAUCACACCAGAGAACACACACAGGAGAGAAACCUUACAGCUGUUAUCAAUGUGGGAAGAGUUUUACUCAGUCAAGCAACCUGGUAUCACACCAGAGAACACACACAGGAGAGAAAUCUUAUAGCUGUGAUCAAUGUGGGAAGAGUUUUACUUCAUCUAGUCAUCUGAUUAUACACCAGAGAACACACACAGGAGAUAAAUCUCAUAGCUGUGAUCAAUGUGACAAGAGAUACUCUGAUGAAAGAUCUCUGAUCAAACAUCAGAAAAUACAUUAAUGAAGGAGUUGUUUCAUGAUAUCAAUGAAUUAAUGUCACCAUGUAGAAUGUUUAAACAUUGUAGUAGGAGUAUUUUAAUGAUGUCACAAUGUAGAAUGUUUUAACAUUGUAGAAGGAGUAUUUUAAUGAUGUCACAAUGUAGAAUGUUUUAACAUUGUAGAAGGAAUAUUUUAAUGAUGUCACAAUGUAGACUGUUUUAACAUUGUAGAAGGAGUAUUUUAAUGAUGUCACAAUGUAGAAUGUUUAAACAUUGUAGUAGGAGUAUUUUAAUGAUGUCACAAUGUUGAACACUAAACGUUUGCUCCCUGUUCAAUUGAUUUCUGCAUGAUAUGGAUAUUAGCCUCAGGGGGGAAAUCCAGGCUCUGAAUGUAAAGAGUGAUAUUUAUAUGAUAUAACAGAAAGUGACUAACACAAAAAGAGCUGUGUUACACUUACAGCAUUGGUGACCCACUUGAAUCAAAAUGAUGCUAGAUGUUUUCUACAAGUUGUCCUCUAACCAAUUGAUGUACACAUUAUUCCCAGAUUCCAUGUGGUGUUUGAGCUGUUAGUUUUAACGGGACAAACUCAUCUCCAGACUCUCACGCAAUUGAUUUCAACAUGAUAUCGAUGAGUGAUGAAAAAUAAGUGUUGCGUUCCUUUGUUUAACGACCUCUAAAUGUAAAUGCAUCUCUCCAAAAUGUAGCUGACUGUCUUCUGCAGGUUGUCCUCUAACCAGGGAGGUAAAAUAUAUCUCCCAUUUCCAUGUGUUUUUUUAGUUGUGUUAGUUUCAACAGCACCUACAACCUGAUUUGUCCGUUAACCAGUGAUACUUAUUACUUAUACUUAAUACUUAUUUUCCACCAUAAUUUGCAAAUAAAUUCAUUAAAAAUCCUACAAUGUGA